GCUUGUCUCAAAGAUUAAGCCAUGCAUGUCUAAGUAUAAAUGGUAUACAGUGAAACUGCGAAUGGCUCAUUAAAACAGUUAUAGUUUAUUUGGUAUUCGAAUUUACAUGGAUAACCGUGGUAAUUCUAGAGCUAAUACAUGCGUCAAGCCCCGACUUCGGAAGGGGUGUAUUUAUUAGAUUCAAAGCCAACCGUGUAAAAAGCGUACCUUGGUGAUUCAUAAUAACUUGUCGAACCGCACGCCCUUGAGGCAGCGGUGAUUCAUUCAAAUUUCUGCCCUAUCAGCUUUGGAUGGUAGGGUAUUGGCCUACCAUGGCUUUAACGGGUAACGGAGAAUUAGGGUUCGAUUCCGGAGAGGGAGCCUGAGAAAUGGCUACCACAUCCAAGGAAGGCAGCAGG
Molecule: ribosomal RNA, 398 nt
Filed under: uncultured Cryptophyta
Lineage: Eukaryota; Cryptophyceae
Description: partial small subunit ribosomal RNA
Rfam family: Eukaryotic small subunit ribosomal RNA
Source: RNAcentral